Molecule: ribosomal RNA, 1385 nt
Filed under: uncultured bacterium
Lineage: Bacteria
Description: bacterial SSU rRNA
Rfam family: Bacterial small subunit ribosomal RNA
Source: RNAcentral
GACGAACGCUGGUGGCGUGCCUAAUACAUGCAAGUAGAACGCUGAAGAGAGGAGCUUGCUCUUCUUGGAUGAGUUGCGAACGGGUGAGUAACGCGUAGGUAACCUGCCUUGUAGCGGGGGAUAACUAUUGGAAACGGUAGCUAAUACCGCAUAACAAUGGAUGACACAUGUCAUUUAUUUGAAAGGGGCAAUUGCUCCACUACAAGAUGGACCUGCGUUGUAUUAGCUAGUAGGUGAGGUAACGGCUCACCUAGGCGACGAUACAUAGCCGACCUGAGAGGGUGAUCGGCCACACUGGGACUGAGACACGGCCCAGACUCCUACGGGAGGCAGCAGUAGGGAAUCUUCGGCAAUGGGGGCAACCCUGACCGAGCAACGCCGCGUGAGUGAAGAAGGUUUUCGGAUCGUAAAGCUCUGUUGUAAGUCAAGAACGAGUGUGAGAGUGGAAAGUUCACACUGUGACGGUAGCUUACCAGAAAGGGACGGCUAACUACGUGCCAGCAGCCGCGGUAAUACGUAGGUCCCGAGCGUUGUCCGGAUUUAUUGGGCGUAAAGCGAGCGCAGGCGGUUUGAUAAGUCUGAAGUUAAAGGCUGUGGCUCAACCAUAGUUUGCUUUGGAAACUGUCAAACUUGAGUGCAGAAGGGGAGAGUGGAAUUCCAUGUGUAGCGGUGAAAUGCGUAGAUAUAUGGAGGAACACCGGUGGCGAAAGCGGCUCUCUGGUCUGUAACUGACGCUGAGGCUCGAAAGCGUGGGGAGCAAACAGGAUUAGAUACCCUGGUAGUCCACGCCGUAAACGAUGAGUGCUAGGUGUUGGGAUCCUUUUCGGGACUCAGUGCCGCAGCUAACGCAUUAAGCACUCCGCCUGGGGAGUACGACCGCAAGGUCUGAAACUCAAAGGAAUUGACGGGGGCCCCGCACAAGCGGUGGAGCAUGUGGUUUAAUUUCAAGCAAACGCGAAGAACCUUACCCAGGUCCUGACCAUCCCCGAUGCUAUUUCUAAGAGAAAGAAAAGUUACUUCGGUACCAUCGGGGACCGGGGGGUGCAUGGUUUGUCGUCAGCCUCUGUUGUGAAGAGUUGGGGUAAAGUCCGCCAACGAGGCCACCCCCUAUGGUUGGUGCCCUCCAUUCAGUGGGCCACUCUAGGGAGACGCCGGGUAAUAACCCGAAGGAAGGUGGGGAGGACGUCAAAUCAUCAUCCCCCUUAUGACCUGGGCUACACACGUGCUACAAUGGUUGGUACAACGAGUUGCAAGUCGGUGACGGCAAGCUAAUCUCUUAAAGCCAAUCUCAGUUCGGAUUGUAGGCUGCAACUCGCCUACAUGAAGUCGGAAUCUCUGGUAAUCGCGGAUCAGCACGCCGGCGGUGAAUACGUUCCUCUUUACCG